RNAcentral lists this long non-coding RNA (1044 nucleotides) under Canis lupus familiaris (dog). RNAcentral's name for it is "lncRNA (ENSCAFG00000057300.1)". The record is from RNAcentral. Lineage: Eukaryota; Metazoa; Chordata; Mammalia; Carnivora; Canidae.
AUGCGCCUCCCCGCCCGGCCGCCGCCCUGCCCGCGGGUGCUCGCGGGGUGCUCGAGGGGUGCACGCGGGAUGCUCGAGGGGUGCUCGAGGGGUGCUCGCGGGGUGCACGCAGGGUGCUCGCGGGGUGCUCUCGGGGUGCUCUCGGGGUGCACGCGGGGUGCAAGCGGGUGCUCGCAGGGUGCUCGCGGGGUGCUCGAGGCGUGCACGCGGGAUGCUCGAGGGGUGCACGCGGGGUGCACGCAGGGUGCUCGCGGGGUGCUCGCGGGGUGCUCUCGGGGUGCUCGCGGGGUGCUCUCGGGGUGCUCGCGGGGUGCACGCGGGGUGCUCUCAGGGUGCUCUCGGGGUGCUCGCGGGGUGCACGCAGGGUGCUCGCGGGGUGCUCGAGGCGUGCACGCGGGAUGCUCGAGGGGUGCACGCGGGGUGCACGCAGGGUGCUCGCGGGGUGCUCGCGGGGUGCUCUCAGGGUGCUCGCGGGGUGCUCUCGGGGUGCUCGCGGGGUGCACGCGGGGUGCUCUCAGGGUGCUCGCGGGGUGCUCGCGGGGUGCACGCGGGGUGCUCGCGGGUGCUCGCGGCCCCGGCAGCUGGGGGCCCGGGCGGACGCCGACGGGGCCGGGGGCCGAGCGCGGGGCCGGUGCAGCCCCGGGGCGCGGUCCGACCCUCGGGCAGAGGGCGGCGACGGGCAGGGCAACUCUAUGCUUAUUUUACUGCGUGGAAGGACCGUUUCCUCGGUCCCACGCCGUCCGUGGCGGGGGGGGGGGGCGGCGGCCCCGCUCGGAAGCCGGGGGCGCGCUCCAGGGCCGGCGCCGUCCGCGUCCCGGGGGGAGGGCGCCCCGCAGAGCCGCGGCCGCAGCCCGGGGAGACCGCGCGCCGCGCGGAGCCGGGGGCGGGGCCGCGGGGGCGGGGGCGGGGCCUCGGGCGCCGGGGCGGGGCCGGGCCGGCCUGUGCGCGCCCCCAUUGGCUGCGGGCGGCGGACUGGCAGGCGCGCGUCACGGGCCGGGCCCGCCCCCUUGGCAAUGUCCUCAGCCCGCGGCUCCCCUAACUUAA